UCAGGGCGGUACAACAAUCUCCAGUGAACCCUGCAGUGGCUCUGCAGUGAACCAGACUGGGGAACUGAACCUGAAAUGGAUAGACUCAUUCAGGAAGAAAAAGUGGAACUUUUUAUUCACUAGUGGGACCAAACUUGCUUAAUGCUUGCCAAACCUUCACCAAGCAAAAAAUUGCCAACAGUGAUUGGAGUUACAAUGAACAUUGAAGACUGCCUGCAGAGAAACCACUUACUCAAAUUGCUCCUUGUGGAGGGAAGGCAGAGUUUUAGAAAUGAAGCUUGGAAAGCUAAGCGACAGAUUCUGCCUUCUUUUUUAUGUGGAGAAGGUUAAUUGACUUUGUUGCCAGUUCUGUCAA
Corapipo altera (White-ruffed manakin) is the source of this 355-nucleotide long non-coding RNA. RefSeq lists it as uncharacterized. The record is from RefSeq and is a predicted model, not a curated record. Lineage: Eukaryota; Metazoa; Chordata; Aves; Passeriformes; Pipridae. The transcript is spliced from 3 exons.